ACGGGAGGCAGCAGUGGGGAAUAUUGCACAAUGGGCGGAAGCCUGAUGCAGCGACGCCGCGUGAGGGAUGACGGCCUUCGGGUUGUAAACCUCUUUCAGCCGGGACGAAGGCCUUUGGGUUGACGGUACCGGCAGAAGAAGCGCCGGCCAACUACGUGCCAGCAGCCGCGGUAAGACGUAGGGCGCGAGCGUUGUCCGGAUUUAUUGGGCGUAAAGAGCUCGUAGGCGGCUUGUCGCGUCGACUGUGAAAUCCCGUGGCUCAACUGCGGGUCUGCAGUCGAUACGGGCAGGCUAGAGUUCGGUAGGGGAGACUGGAAUUCCUGGUGUAGCGGUGAAAUGCGCAGAUAUCAGGAGGAACACCGGUGGCGAAGGCGGGUCUCUGGGCCGAUACUGACGCUGAGGAGCGAAAGCGUGGGGAGCGAACAGGAUUAGAUACCCUGGUA
RNAcentral lists this ribosomal RNA (443 nucleotides) under uncultured Actinomycetales bacterium. Its description in RNAcentral is "bacterial SSU rRNA". It matches the Rfam family "Bacterial small subunit ribosomal RNA", at positions 341 to 792 of the family's 1533-position model. Lineage: Bacteria; Bacillati; Actinomycetota; Actinomycetes; Actinomycetales. The record is from RNAcentral.